GCCGGGCGUGGUGGCGCAUGCCUGUAAUCCCAGCUACUUGGGAGGCUGAGUCAGGAGAAUCACUUGAACCCAGGAGGAGGAGGUUGUAGUGAGCCGAGAUCGCGCCACUGCACUCCUGGAGUAAAGUGGUGCGAUCUCGGCUCACCUCAACCUCUGUCUCCUGGGUUCAAGGGAUUCUCCUGCCUCAG
Papio anubis (olive baboon) is the source of this 188-nucleotide unclassified non-coding RNA. It matches the Rfam family "Metazoan signal recognition particle RNA". From Rfam's summary of the family: The signal recognition particle (SRP) is a universally conserved ribonucleoprotein. It is involved in the co-translational targeting of proteins to membranes. The eukaryotic SRP consists of a 300-nucleotide 7S RNA and six proteins: SRPs 72, 68, 54, 19, 14, and 9. NCBI's taxonomy places the organism in Eukaryota, Metazoa, Chordata, Mammalia, Primates, Cercopithecidae. The record is from Ensembl.